Molecule: RNA transcript, 4154 nt
Organism: Diospyros lotus (date-plum)
Lineage: Eukaryota; Viridiplantae; Streptophyta; Magnoliopsida; Ericales; Ebenaceae
Gene name: transcription termination factor MTERF15, mitochondrial
Exons: 2
Source: RefSeq, a predicted model, not a curated record
UGGGUUGGUGCAGUGCUUGUGCUUCUGUUGGAGCUUCGCUGCUGCUGCUGCUAUGGUAUGUCCGUUUCUCUCCUCCUUCAACUCCAACAACAGGCAUAACCCUUCUCCCUUCUAUUUCAUUCCUCAAUUCAUACAUGCAUUCUUUGACUCACAGUAAUAUGAGAGCUAGAUUUAUCCAGUUAGGUUUUCUAUUCCGCGCCCCUGAUUCCGUCCUCCAUCAUCCAGUUUUCGGUCCAAACCCCCCGAUUUUGAACCUCUGCCGUUACUGGGCAACCUUUCCCGUCACGGCGCCGCCACUCUGCGAAACCCCAGACGGAGCAGCUAGUGUAGGAGAGGACAGAGGGUGCCCAAACAACUCCGGGGACGUGCUUCGGAGAUGGGGCUGCUCUGACACUGAGAUAUCGAAGAUAUUUCACCGUAGGCCAGCUUUGCGCAAAGCUGAUGUUCACUGCCUUCAAUCCAAACUCAACUUACUGAGUGAAUUGGGGCUCACCGGUUCUCACCUUGUCAGGAUCAUUAACUGUCGCCCCCGUUUCCUCAGUAAUAACCUCAAGCAGUGCCUGGACGAGCGCCUUGAAUAUCUGGAAGCACUGUUUGGGUCGAGGGAAGCACUCCUGAAAGCCAUUGUUCGAAAUCCUUCCCUGCUCACCUAUGACUUGCACGAUAAGAUUAAGCCUGUCGUUGACGCAUACUACCAAAUGGGGUUUACUAGGAAGGAUUUAGUUCCCAUGCUUCUAUCACGCCCGACCUUGAUUCCCCGGACCUCUCUCAAUGAUGAGAAGCUGGAUUUCAUUCGCAGGACUGGGAUCUCCAAGGAUUCGAAAAUGUACAAGUAUGUGGUCACCUUGACUGCCAUCUCACGCAUUGAGACGCUUCAUGAGAAGCUGGCAAACUUGGAGAAGUUUGGGUUUUCGGAGCAAGAGGUUUUUGGCCUUUUUGGACGAUCACCUUUUAUUUUGACGCUAUCCGUGGACAAGGUUCAGCGGAAUAUGACUUUCGUGUUGGGCACGAUGAAACUAUCGGCCAAAGCGGUCCUUGAUCACCCAUUCUUGCUGCUGUCCAAUUUAGAAGCUGUGUUAAAGCCACGCUUCCUCCUGGCAGGCAAGAUAGAGGAUAUGGAUCUUGUCCCGCAAAUUAAAGGGCCUCUAAUGCUAAGGGCUCUGAGAAUGGUGGAGAUGCGGUUUGUUAAGGCAUUUAUUAAAUGUCACCAAAAUGCUGUUUCUGAUGAAUUGAUGGAAUUCUACACAAAUGCAAAAUGUGUCAAGCGAUUGGCAGAAUCCUCGAAGAAGACUGUGUAUAAAGGUUUCCCUUUCUGAACAUCUUUGGACAUCAGGUACUUAUAUUUUUUCUCAGAAGUAUUCAACUAUAUCAAUAUAUUCUUAGUUUUUCAAAAGUAGGGAUACAUUAUGGUUGAUAAUGGUAAUUAUAGUACUUAGUUUGUACUGUGGAUAUUAUUAUCCAGUUAAUAUUCUACCAUUUUUUUAGUAGUAAUAUUAAUAAUAUCACUAUAACCCAGUAAUGUGACAGCAUUAAUAUUAGAGUAUAUAAUAUUAACUAAAAUGAAGAAAAAUUUGUUUAAUAGUAUCACUCAGACUUUUGCUUCUUUUUUUUCCUAUUUGUUUAUAAAAGCUAUACUUAUCAACUUUGUUUUUUAUUCAUAAAAUGAAAUUUGAACACAAAAAGUUUUUAUUUUAACAAUAAAUACAGAAAACUAAAGAUGAAGAACUAACCACAAAACUAGAAAAUAGAAAACAAAUAACUAACCAUGUUCCUAACUGGCCUCUUUGUCUUUUAUUUUGAUUCUUUUUUCCCAGUUCUUCAUUCCACCAUGCAGGAACUGAUAUUGAUUGUUGUAAUUCAUAAUGUAGUUCCUUGAUGAAUAUUUUUUCAUCUGUAUCCUUGUGCCAUUUUUUUUUUUCAGAGAUUCUUAUGCAUAUGCCCCUGCAUCCCAAUGUUAGCGUUAUUAUAAAAAAAAUGCAGUAAAUUAUAACAACAACAUCAAGCCAUAAUCCCCCUAGCUGGGGUCAGCUGUAUAAAUUCUAGCUUGCUAAUAAAGAAAGUUACUCGUAGAAAAAAGAAGAAGAAGAGCAUCUCUUUAUGCAUAAGCAGCGAAGAGUGCCGCCCGCCUUCCCAAAUCCCAAUAGCUUACCUUGUACUCCCUGAAUUAAGAGAUCUGAGUUCCACAACUAUUAUCAAAGUGAAAACCGAAACAGAGAGACUAGAAAAGAAAAGAAAGUCACCCAUAGAAAAACAGUAACAUACCAAGCCUUUGUCCCUCCAGAUGGGGUUGGUUGCAUGAAUUCUAGCUUUCCGUACUUUUUUGUCUUGUCUAUGCUUCAGGGAGGACAAAUAUGCACUGGAGUCCACUGCUGCCAAUUACCACCAUUAUUUGUGCCCGCCAGCUUAAUCCAGUAGGUUUCAUUAUUGGCCAAUCAGCCACCAUUAUGGGCAUAAAAUAGAAACAGGAAAUAAGAGGAAGUGAUUGAUGCUCUAGGAAUAAGAUUCUGAAGAUAGGAAUAAGUCCUGGUUAUGAAUGAUUCAUGACAUUGUUGAAUUACAUGUAUUUUUUGCAUAACUUCACUAUUAAUGUAUUACUACAGCAUGGAUUGGAUGUCUAUUCAUUUUAGAUUCCUUUUUUGAUUAAGAGGUGGUUAAUGUUUUCUUAGUCUUGAAUGUGCUCUUUUGCGUGACUAAAGCAAGGACCGGAUCUCUACAAAGUUCUCAAAGUGAUUUAAUUAUGCUUAAUAGUCUAGAUUAUCACCAUCAAUAGGUGCUCUUUAUCCUUAUGAAAGUUGAGUUUAAUCAGAAUUAAUUUCAAGAUUUUCAUAUAUAAAUUUGUUAUGAUCACACAUUUACCAUUCUUUCACAGUUAGUUAAGUUUCAGAACUGAUGUAGGACGGAAAAAGCCAUGGUCAAACUUUAUGUGAAGCAUGGUGGAAAAUGGUUGAUAUAGCCUUUUCCAGUAUAGAAGUCAGGAUGUGGCUUUCCACAACAAGUUGCAUCUGAUUAUUGCUAGCAAUUUUACUAAAACCUUCUGCCGUGGUGAUGGGGUCCAAGGCAGGGGCCAGUGUCAAUAUGAGCUGUUUCAAUGAAGGAUAAGAUCGUGUAAUCAGUGAUCAGAACUUCAUGCUUAUGGUACUUCUGCUGUGCUUGAAUAGUGUUCAGCUAUGUUGAGUUUGCUUACUUUUUCACCAUACAAGGCCAUAACAAAGCGAGAGAGAAGUUCAUCUGCUAGUUAAAGACAUGCAUCCAGACCCUGCAUUUGAUGAAAAUUCUUUGCCAAGGCAAGGUGAAAGAUCCUUGGAGAAUGUCUCCGCUGUCUUCCAGAGCAUUUUUGUUCUUCUUUCUAGCUAGAAUUUUUUUCCCACUUCGGAUGAGAAUUUCCCUGGUUCCGCUUGAUUCUCUUUUGCUUGCUUUCUGAUAGAGUGUAUAUACACAUUUUCCAGCUUGAUGUCUAUUGGCUAUUCAAGUGUCAGUGCUUUUGGGAAGUAGCAGUUAAAGCUCAUGAUUCUGGUUUCAGCCACCUCUAACCUGUUAGUUGACUCUUGUUAAGAAUUUUCAGUAUGUGAUUAAAUGUUGUUGUUUUCUAAAUGGUUGUAUGCUUAUUCAGGUAGAUAAUGAAACCUGUACCAACCAACAGUUCAAAAUUUUCAACCCUGUGGCAAACUGAAGUCUGACUGUGUCUGUGAUUCGAAAGGCAACAAAAGUUGCAAGCUGAGUUUAAGGCAACACAAAGAGAAUCAGAUCUGGAGGGAGCAUAAGUGGAAAGUAUGUGAAGAAUGACCAUUCGGUUGCAAUCGUCGUAUCAUGAAGAAUUUUGUCUGGCUUAGUGUCAAAGCAAGUUGAUGUGCAUCUCAAGUUAGAAGGAUUAGCACAUUCCACUCAUUCCAAUGGCCAGCACUAUGUUGAUGUCAGCAUGAAGUCAUCACAUCAUUAGGCUUCAGAGUAAUGAUAUCUGAUUUGAGUCAGAUUACGGGUGUUCAAUCGGCUGGUCUUAGAUUGAAACAAAACUGGAAUGGGCAAAUGUUCGGACUGAAAUUGGCAGAAUGUAUGCACUGCAUACAGCAGUGUAUGAAUUGUAUUUAUUCUGUCUUCGAUGCAAAAUCGAGGUGGAUCGAAAUUUUAUUUUUUUAAUUUUUUAACCUAAGAUCGAG